GUCGCUCCAACUUCCCUGCUCCGGCGGCGAGGCUGGCGGCCAGACCAGUGCGCUAUCCAUUUUAAUGAAGUAGAGGGAUUGCCUUUCAUCAGAGUCUGUGAGGGGGAGAGAAGAUGAGGACUUUUUUCUCCUUUCUUUCUUUAUGGCUCAUCUCAAUAUUGAAGGGGGUUCUUCCACUGGCACAUGAAGCAGGGCACAUGUGGAAUGACACAAGCUCUGACAAGACUCUGACAGCUCUGAUGACCGGCAACGGCCUCAGAAGUUUGACCUGAUUAAUUCAGCACCUGUCAAAAAAGCACAGCGGUGAGGAGACAGGAUGUGUUUUUUAAAAAAGUAGUAAAAGGACAGUCGCUCUGUGGCACAUCGGCUCGCGGGAAUAAAAAAAAACAGUGUUCGGUGGAGCUGGCAGCUCAUUUCUAGCCCCGGAAGACGCUUUCAAAAAGAGAUGUCUGGAACUUUUCUCCUUCACAUUGUGAACAUCUCCAGGCCAUUAAGCUGUGAUCCCCACCUAAAAGGUUUCCUGGGCUGCCUGGGUGUGUACAAGGCAGGUCCUGGAUCCACUCCAGUCCUCCUUUCACUCAUCAGGGGAGAACACCGAUGUGGCAGUGGUCUUAUUCAUAUGUAUAAUUAUGUGAGAUGAAACCUUUAUGGCCAGAGAAGCUCGUCUGUGGCAGCGACUCCAGGGCCAGCUGUUUCUGCCCAUCUGGCUGGACUAAAUGGGCCACUGCAGCCCACAGAUGGCAGCUUGUUUAUGCGUCUUUGCUGUUCAGGAAGUCAUCCAUCCAUAGCUCUGCCCAGCGCUGCCUUCAUAAACAAGCGCAGGGGACAGAAGAGAGCGAGGUAAUUGUUAUGAAUGGAUGGAAUCGGAGGAGAAAACAAAGAGGGCUUGGAGAAAACAAACCUAAUGUGCUCCAUGACAAGGGGAAUUAAUCUGGGGCUCCUUAAAGAGCCGCGAGCCACCGCCGCAGCUCCAGGCUCAGCCACAGCCGCGCUGGCUUGAUUGACUGGUUAACUGGCCGUACUGCAUAUUCAUCAGAGCAGGGCCCUGGGGUCUGCCUCUC
Molecule: long non-coding RNA, 1061 nt
Organism: Alosa alosa (allis shad)
Lineage: Eukaryota; Metazoa; Chordata; Actinopteri; Clupeiformes; Clupeidae
Exons: 3
Source: RefSeq, a predicted model, not a curated record